Non-coding RNA from Paramuricea clavata, 240 nucleotides. Lineage: Eukaryota; Metazoa; Cnidaria; Anthozoa; Malacalcyonacea; Plexauridae. The record is from the annotation of a GenBank genome assembly.
CCACUCCAAUGGAUGCCAAAAAUGCAACAUUUUCUGGAAGUAUAAACUGUAAUAGUGAAGACAGAUACUUAUCCCAGUGUUCAAUUACUGCUUCAGCCAACGAAAGUUGUUCUGAGUUAUUAUACAUACAAUGUAAGUGUGGUAAGAUGGAACGAAUAGAAUGCAGAGGUAAACGAAAGGAGGAAAGAAUAUAAAAAGAAAUAGAAAGUAAAUAAUUAGAGGAAGAAUGAAAGAACAACC